Molecule: ribosomal RNA, 510 nt
Filed under: uncultured bacterium
Lineage: Bacteria
Description: bacterial SSU rRNA
Rfam family: Bacterial small subunit ribosomal RNA
Source: RNAcentral
CCGUUCGGGUCGUAAAGCACUUUUCUGAGGGAUGAGCAAGGACAGUACCUCAGGAAUAAGUCUCGGCUAACUACGUGCCAGCAGCCGACGGUAAACGUAGGAGGCAAGCGUUAUCCGGAUUCACGUGGGUUUAAAGGUGCGUAGGCGGCUUGAUAAGUCAGAGGUGAAGCCCGCAGCUUAACUGCGGAACUGCCUUUGAUACUGUUGAGCUUGAAACAGGACGAGGUUGGCGGAAUGUGGCAUGUAGCGGUGAAAUGCAUAGAUAUGCCAUAGAACACCGAUUGCGAAGGCAGCUGGCUAGACCUGAUUUGACGCUGAGGCACGAAAGCGUGGGGAGCGAACAGGAUUAGAUACCCUGGUAGUCCACGCCCUAAACGAUGCUCACUCGACGUACGGUAGGAAUAUUGUGCGUCCAAGCGAAAGCGAUAAGUGAGCCACCUGGGGAGUACGUCGGCAACGAUGAAACUCAAAGGAAUUGACGGGGGGUCCGCACAAGCGGUGGAGCAUGUG